This is a long non-coding RNA of Paramacrobiotus metropolitanus, 1250 nucleotides long. RefSeq lists it as uncharacterized. The record is from RefSeq and is a predicted model, not a curated record. The transcript has 4 exons. NCBI's taxonomy places the organism in Eukaryota, Metazoa, Tardigrada, Eutardigrada, Parachela, Macrobiotidae.
AGAAUCCAAGGCCGUCUUAAAACAAAGUGCUCCCUUUCCUUUUUUCUCUAUAUUUACCUCGUAUAACCUCCUGGUGCAAACACUGAUCUCUUCGGAUAAGCCAUGAACUCCAGUCAGAGAACAACUAAAUCUCCAUCUAUCUGUACAACAUAAUUUACUGUGACCUGCAAAAUGCCAGAUUCGCGGAUCAACACGCCAACGUCUUCGCCAAAUAUCGAGAAUUUGUCCCAAAAUUCGGUAUCAUCCGACUCUCUUGCGUGUCCAUCGCCAGUGAUCGAAGUGAUCAAAGACGGCGGUUUGUCUACUGGUGCCCGGAUUCCACUGGCCUGGAGUCAGCGAGAGGCAUAUGCACAGGAAGUUUCUUUGGCAAAGCCUGAUAACACUCCAAUUAAAGAAUACCGAUAUCUUGGAUCCAAAACCUUGCUGCCAUCGAGACGACAUCCUUUUGGAUUCGCAACAGGCUCCUUUCACAAUCCAUUAAGCAGACACUCAGAGAUCAAAACAAUUUUUCCGAAGAAGUAUUCAGGAUUUCACACGCUUCCAUCUGGAUUUAUCCGUCGUAGAUCACCAUCAUUGCCGCCAGGAAACUCAAAUGCGGGACUGGGAGUGACCGAUCCCAGUUUUAAUCAGACCCUCAAAACUUUGCUACCGAUGCCGCACGCGUUAUUAUGUGACCCGAACAUUUCGGAUAUUACCAGCGAAUCCUCUGGAAUCGGCUCGCAGUUUUCUGCAAGAGCCUUAACUGCCGUGAAUAAUCGUCAAAACGCUACGCAUAUAAUACCAAUUAUAUCGGAUUUAUAUACUAGGACGUUGCCACCUAAAGUGGCCAAUGUUAAAUGCACGCACAAUUCUGUUAGUUAUCCGUGUACUAACUGGCAUCCUUGUGAGACGCCGGUUAUGGUGCCGAGCUGCAUAACAGGACCCCGCUCACUGGACUUGGACCAAAGAAAUCCAUUCAGCCACUCUAACUGUUGUAAGGGAGGAUUUCUCAUGCUGUGGAUUAUACUUUCUGUUAUUAUGGUAGGAAUUAUCGUUGGAUUAAUUGUUAUUUUUGUCAGACGGAAUGUAUGAUUACAUAUAUUUGAAAUCUGCUGUUCAACUUCGCAAUCCGUUAUUACCGCGCGCAAUGUUCACAAGUCGUCUGAAAGCCGCUAAAUAAAAUAGAGCGAGAAUUUUUCGAUAGCACUUCUAGCCCUUAUCAUUACUUCUACUUUCAUUUUUAUGCUCAUCGGCUCAUGUGAUUCUUUUGU